RNAcentral lists this ribosomal RNA (852 nucleotides) under uncultured Planctomycetota bacterium. Its description in RNAcentral is "bacterial SSU rRNA". It matches the Rfam family "Bacterial small subunit ribosomal RNA", at positions 509 to 1353 of the family's 1533-position model. The record is from RNAcentral. Lineage: Bacteria; Pseudomonadati; Planctomycetota.
CAGCAGCCGCGGUAAUACGGAGGUGGCGAGCGUUGUUCGGAAUCACUGGGCUUAAAGCGUGUGUAGGCGGAAGUCCAAGCGUCAUGUGAAAUCCCUCGGCUCAACCGAGGAAUUGCUUGGCGAACUGGAUUUCUUGAGGCAGAUAGGGGUGUGUGGAACUCUUGGUGGAGCGGUGGAAUGCGUAGAUAUCAAGAGGAACGCCAAUGGUGAAGACAGCACACUGGGUCUGUUCUGACGCUGAGACACGAAAGCGUGGGUAGCGAACGGGAUUAGAUACCCCGGUAGUCCACGCCGUAAACGAUGUCUACUAGGCUGUGGUCGUUCUGACACGAUCGCGGCCGAAGCAAAAGUGAUAAGUAGACCGCCUGGGGAGUACGGUCGCAAGGCUAAAACUCAAAGGAAUUGACGGGGGCUCACACAAGCGGUGGAGCAUGUGGAUUAAUUCGAAGCAACGCGCAGAACCUUACCUGGGUUUGACAUGCUUGGAUGCCUAUCUGGAAACAGAGUCGGCUGCCUUCGGGUGAAACUUGCACAGGUGCUGCAUGGCUGUCGUCAGCUCGUGUCGUGAGAUGUCGGGUUAAGUCCUUUAACGAGCGAAGCCCUUGCCGUUAGUUGCCAGCGAGUAAUGUCGGGGACUCUAACGGGACUGCCGGUGUUAAACCGGAGGAAGGUGGGGAUGACGUCUUAGUCCUCAUGGCCCUUAUGUCCAGGGCUACACACGUGCUACAAUGGCCGGUACAGAGGGUUACCAAACCGCAAGGUGGAGUUAAUCUCAGAAAACCGGUCUCAGUUCGGAUUGGAGUCUGCAAUUCGACUCCAUGAAGCUGGAAUCGCUAGUAAUCGCGAAUCAGC